This is a non-coding RNA of Pelobates cultripes (western spadefoot toad), 348 nucleotides long. The record is from the annotation of a GenBank genome assembly. Lineage: Eukaryota; Metazoa; Chordata; Amphibia; Anura; Pelobatidae.
CUAGUCACCCCCUCCCUCACUCUGUCACUAGAGUGAGGGGGUGACUAGUGACAGAGUGAGGGAAGGGGUGACUAGUGGCAGAGUGAGGAAAGGAAGGGGUGACUAAUGACAGAGUGAGGGAGGUGGUGACUGUCACUAGUCACCACCUCCCUCACUCUGUCACUAGUCCCUCCCUCUUUCUGUCACUAGUCACCCCCUCCGUCCCUUACUCUGUCACUAGUCACCCCCUAACUCACUAUGUCACCAGUCAUCCACUCACUCUGUCACCAGUCAUCCCUUCCUUCCCUCACUCUGCCACUAGUCACCCCUUCCCUCACUCUGUCACUAGUCAUUCCCUCACUCUAGUGA